UUACUUGCUCUCAAUAAAGAAAUUAACUUGCUGCUAGGUCUUCCUCGUGAAGUAAGAAAAGACAUUACCUUGCUGCCAGAUCGUCUUCUUUGUGGAGUACGAACAAUUGACAUGCAAUGCAACUGUAGUGGACUCGAUAUCUCUGAAUGCGUUCAUCUUGAAUCACUUGCUCUCGGUAAAGACAUUACCUUGCUGCCAGGUCGUCUUCCUUGUGGAGUACGAACAAUUAACAUGCAAUGCAACUGUAGUGGACUCGAUGUCUCUGAAUGCGUUCAUCUUGAAUAUAUUGCUCUCGGUAAAGACAUUACCUUGCUGCCAGGUCGUCUUCCCAGUGGGGUAAGAACCAUUGAUAUGCAAUGCAAAUGUAGUGGGCUCGAUAUCUCUGAAUGUCAUCAUCUUAAAUCAAUUGCUCUGGGUAAAGACAUUACCUUGCUGCCAGGUAGUCUUCUGAAGGUUGAUUGUCUUUACUCGACCACGGACAAAAACUGAUAGAAGGGUAAUAUCAUGCCCAAGAGCAAUUGAAUCAAUACUAUGGUUUCUAGACCUCCGAAUGUCAUCAUCUUAAAUCAAUUGCUCUCGGUAAAGACAUUACCUUGCUGCCAGGUCGUCUUCCUCGUGGAGUAAGAACCAUUAACAUGCAAUGCAAAUGUAGUGGGCUCGAUAUAUCUAGAAACCAUAGUCUUGAUUCAAUUGCUCUUGGGCAUGAUAUUACCCUUCUACCAGUUGUUCUCCGUGGUCGAGUAAAGACAAUCAACCUACAAUGCAAAUGUACUCGACUAAAUUUAUCUCAUAUUCAUACACUUAGAUCAAUUGCUCUCGGUAAAGACAUUACCUUGCGGCCAAUUCGUCUUCUCGUGGAGUAAGAACCAUUGACAUACAUUUAAAAUGUAGUGGACUCGAAAUCUCUGAAUGCCAUAAUCUUGAAUCAAUUGUUUUCGGUAAAUACAUAACCUUGCUGCCAUCGCAUCGGCAUAUGCUAGGAAAGAGGUAUGACCCACUAUUCGACUCGAAGAAUCUGAAUUCCAUCAUCUUGAAUCAAGUGCAGUCGGUAAACACAUUACCUUGAAACCCGCUCAAAUUAUAUAUUCAAUAAUAAAGGAAUAUGUUAACAGAGUAAUGAAAAAGGAUUAUUAAUUUGAUUAUAAAUGCCACGGGCGAUAUGCAUUAAAGAUGUUUGAUAAAAACGCGAUUUAAUUAGAGUUUUCAAAACAAAGUUUUCUAUAAAAAGGUUUUCCAAAGAGAGUAUACACACUGGGGACGAAAGAUGCAUAACAAAAAGUGGUUUGCAUCAAAAUCAUGUGGACUGUUCGCAUCUUCAUUUUGUGUAAACAAAGCCUCAUUAACUGAGUCCUACGUGAAUUUUGAGAAACGUGUUAUUGAAACUAAGACAACCCAUAAUUUUUUUACCUAUUUGCAAUUUGAUCCGGUUUCAACGAAUAUGUACAAUAAUUUGUUCGCUUCUAUCACAUUGUGCUGUAAAUAAACUCUUCAUUAUGUGUAAACAAACAGUCUGGCUUGAUUUUAUUAUGAUGAUUACCUUUUCUCUAAUGUUUAGUAUUCAUGAUGCAUGUCAGAACCAUAUUUAGGACGGCUUGCAUGCCAAACAGAGACAAACAUAAUUGUACUUGUCGCACUAGACAUGUCUGUAAGGUGGCAACUGAAUUUUUGUUGCCAACAGAAAAUGUAUGUGUCUGACUCUGAAGUGAAUUGUGUAUAUUAAUAAGAGACAAUCAUAAAUCUAUGUAACCUAUAGGCUAGAUGAACAAGAAGUAGGGUAUAGGAAGCAGUUACACAGGUAUUUAACGACAUAUUUGGGUGUAACAUUGUAAUAGUUGGUUUAUCAAAACGUCAGUAUCACACUUUUUAAAUAUAUCUGUAACAACCAUUCUGCUUGUCGAAAAACAUACUACAUUGAUUUUUUAUUUGUUUAUCAUGGAUCGCCCUACUGUCUGAUUAAUUGUUUUUGUCACGGUGAUAAAAUAUUAUCAAAUAUAAUUGUCUAUAAAAACCUUGAUUGCACAAUCGAAUACUAUGUCAUCAUGUAGGAAUUUUCUUAGCUUUUUACAAUGUUUUUUUACUCAAACAAUUUCAACACUUGCUUUUCAUGGUUCUGACCUAAAUUGUGUUGUUGUAUUUUAUAUUAUCUUUUUCAAGUGCAUGAAGAUUUUUGUAUAUUAAUAACUCCUCCAACACCUGCUGACCAUAUGAUUCUCUAAAGUAUAAAAACAAAGCCCCAAUUUUGACGCACAAUUAUUAAAACGUCGUCUUUUACUACAAUACUGUCUUCAUAUUACUAUUAUACAUGAUUGUAUUAUUUCUCAUUACUUAUACAAAUGAAAAGUUCCGAGUUUUUGUGUACUAUUCUUCUCCAAAUAGCAAAUGUUUAUUUAGUACAUAAUAAUGUGUAUAUCAAGUGUUUUAUAACCAUAACAAUUGUCUGGUAUGCUAUUGACACCAUAAACUAUGUAAAUUGUGAAGGGGAUGAUCUCGAUCCGUUUCAUACCUACCGGUAUUUACGGGAAAAAAUACAAAACGUUAGAUACACACACGCACGCACACACACACGCACACGCACAAGAACUAGCAUCAGAACUGAUUGCAGAAGAUGGACAUAUCGAGCUAGAAUAACAUGCAAAACGACGACCCCUGUGCUAUUUUAAUCAAUUUUUUGUUAAACAAUAAUUGACCAAAUCAUUGUAAAAAGUGUUCAAAUAAUCUUAUGCAAGUAUUUCAUGUCGAAAAUGUCAAGUGUUGUUAACUUACUGAAAAAUAUACAUAAUGGCCUAUCCACAUUGAUAGUUUGUUUGUAUAAGUAAACAACGAGUGGUUCGCGAGCUUCUUUAAUUUUUAUUAUUUUCUUUAUUGCAAGAAAUAUAUUUGUUAAUAUGAGCAAGCACUUAUAACUUUAUAUUGAUAAUGAUCAUUGUGCAUUUUCUUAUUUUCAAAUGUUUUUGUUUUAUUUUUUCAUUGCAUUAUGCGUUUGUGUCAGAUGUUGCGAUAUAGCAUUUAAAGCCAUCGUAUAACGUUAUUUCAUGUAUGGGCCCAUGUGUGUAAGUCACAUGUACAUAUAGAUUUUAAGGAGAUAACUCGUAUUGCUUCCUUCAUACGAUACGCGCGAUAGAUUAGUUUUUGCUAUCGAAAUUCUUUCAAUGAGAUUCAGUGUGAAAUUAUUGUUUAAUGCGAGAGGGUCCAAAGUAAAUGCUUCUACAUCCAUCAUAAUGAGCAAUCGGAAACAAUGAUCAAAUGUAUUUCACGAAUAUACUUUUUAAGUUGUAUAUAAUGUUUAUUCUUUCCUUCAUUAAUUAAACUUAUUUUAAGUUUAACUUUUGUCUGCACUGGGAUAUACCGUCAUGGUUUAUUUACCGUUUUUAACAGCUAAUUCAAAUGGGUUUUUGUUAAUUUAUUUUCUUUAUAAACUGCUGUUGACACCGCUAUGACAUCUUUAAAAUUUUGAAACUAUACAGCUGCAUCAAAAACAUUUUUAUGGAACACGAUUCUGUACAUUUCGCUUGUUUUGUUUUGGUUUCAUUUGCUGAUGGAAGCCUACGAUAUUGAGUACGUUACUGUCGUUAGUACGUUAACGUUUAUCAUUUUAUCCAUAUUUUCACUAUUGUAAGCCAGAAGCUUUAUUGUAUGCAUUUUUGCGGAAAUUGUUAUUGUUGUUGUAUAUUCAUUCGUAAUUUUGUACUCACCAGUUUGUAUUGUUUGCAUUGUUGCCUUAUCAAUGGUUUUGAUUUUGAAUUGUAAUAACUAUCUUAAAUUUUUAUCUACUAAUCAAAACAGGCAAACUUAAAUGCAAUCAGUUUAAUGUUAUUAAUUUUUAUUGAAGCCAACAUUCCGAAUUGCAAAGAUACUUAACAUUUUACAUUGUUUGCGUUGUACAGAUGAUAGUUACACUUCUCUUUUGGCCUGUUUUGUGAAAUGAAAAAAAUAGUGUUUGUUUUUUAAAUUGUUAACAUAUGCAAAUGCAUUAUGGUUUCAUUAUGUGCAUCGUUUACGCAACGUAAGAUUGUUUGUAAUAACGUUCUUGUUUAACAGUUACGUUUUCUGUUAUGAAUGUUUCUCUAAGAAUCGUUUAUAAUUGUUAAAGGGGCCUUUUCAAGUUUUGUUAAAUUGACAAAAUAAAAAUAAAAUGUUUAAGAUUAGAAA
This is a long non-coding RNA of Dreissena polymorpha, 4149 nucleotides long. RefSeq lists it as uncharacterized. The record is from RefSeq and is a predicted model, not a curated record. The transcript is spliced from 2 exons. NCBI's taxonomy places the organism in Eukaryota, Metazoa, Mollusca, Bivalvia, Myida, Dreissenidae.